Molecule: ribosomal RNA, 546 nt
Filed under: uncultured Glomus
Lineage: Eukaryota; Fungi; Glomeromycota; Glomeromycetes; Glomerales; Glomeraceae
Description: SSU rRNA
Rfam family: Eukaryotic small subunit ribosomal RNA
Source: RNAcentral
UUGGAGGGCAAGUCUGGUGCCAGCAGCCGCGGUAAUUCCAGCUCCAAUAGCGUAUAUUAAAGUUGUUGCAGUUAAAAAGCUCGUAGUUGAAUUUCGGGAUUAGUACGUUGGUCGUGCCUUCGGUACGUACUGGUGUUACUGAUUCCUACCUUCUGACGAACCAUCAUGUCAUUAAUUUGGUGUGGUGGGGAAUCAGGACUGUUACUUUGAAAAAAUUAGAGUGUUUAAAGCAGGCUCGCGCUCGAAUACAUUAGCAUGGAAUAAUGAAAUAGGACGUUGACCCUAUUUUGUUGGUUUCUAGGAUUGACGUAAUGAUUAAUAGGGAUAGUUGGGGGCAUUAGUAUUCAAUUGUCAGAGGUGAAAUUCUUGGAUUUAUUGAAGACUGACUACUGCGAAAGCAUUUGCCAAGGAUGUUUUCAUUAAUCAAGAACGAAAGUUAGGGGAUCGAAGACGAUCAGAUACCGUCGUAGUCUUAACCAUAAACUAUGCCGACUAGGGAUCGGAUGAUGUUAUUUUUAAUGACUCAUUCGGCGCCUUACGGGAAAC